Molecule: RNA transcript, 4738 nt
Organism: Triticum aestivum (bread wheat)
Lineage: Eukaryota; Viridiplantae; Streptophyta; Magnoliopsida; Poales; Poaceae
Exons: 5
Source: RefSeq, a predicted model, not a curated record
GGGACGGGAGAAAAGACCGCAUCUCCCCACUCCUCCCACGCCCUGUGCACCCAAUCCCCUCCUCCUCCUCCCUCACGAACCCUAGCCGCCUCCAUGUUCGCUUCCUCCUCCUCCUCCUCCUCCAUCCUCCCGCGCCAGUCGCGCCCUCCCUCUCCUGCAUCUCUUCCACCCCGAGAUCCGAGGUGUGCAGGCGCGGAGGCGCGCUUCCCUGGCGGCAGCGGCAACCUACAGGCAAAGGGCGACGGCGGACCAAAGGGCGACAGCGGCGACCUCGGUUCGAUCUGUGGGAGAGAGAAUAUGAGAGGGAGAAGAAGAAAGGAGAGGAUGGAGAAAGAGAGAGGAAAUAGGAGAAGGAGGCGACGUCGAAUGGGAGAGGGUCAGUGCGGUGGCGCAGCGGACGGCGGCUCGUGCUGUGGUGCGGCGCCGUCGUCCACGUGCUCCUCCUGAAGCUCCUCCUCUCCACCACGGGUGGAUGCCUGGUGAGGCCAGCGUCCCCUCCACACUCAGGUGCUCCCCCGCUUCCCUGUGUCCCCUUUGUCUCUUCCCCUGACCCUCUCUUUCUGUCACACAUGGAGAGAACCGUGGUGGCAGCACAUCAGAUUUUGCUACGAAAUACAACUUAGUUCUGAAAAUAAGAAACAAAGCUGAUUAAAUCCCCUAUGCAUCUGUUGUUUGUUUGCUGAUUUACUGGGUAGAUCUUGAACUGGACGACACAAAGGAGGUGGCAUUAGUAGUCAUGGAGAUCCUCGUGUUCUGAACAUCAAUUAGUUCCAUGGGGCUAAAUGAUACUGUAAUCUGGCUUUCGUGGCCUAUAUAUAGUAUUUAGUAAAUAAGUCUGUUCCAUAUCCCAUUAAUAUGAAUGCAGCUCGUCAAACUGUUCCCAUUGGUCGUCUAUUUGAUCUUAUUAUUUAGGUAUUAUAGGAAAGUAAGUAUGUACUCCAUUGAGCAAGCUCUUUCUAUCUAUGUGAUUUAUUUUUCUGUGGUUGAUGAAUACAGUAGGAGCCUGGAUCUUUUAACCACAGAGAUGGUGCAUAAAUAAGAAAAACAAUAAGUGCACUAAUGCUUUUUUGGAAUUCCAUUGGUUUUCUGGAAAUUUUGGUGAAAGCAAGAUUUAAGACAGAGAGGUUCAUGUGCUAGGCCAUCGACACACCUCUCUUCAAGGUAAGGUCAGUUCUAAGGUGAGCUCAUCCUAUUUUCUUUCUUCAAUCUCAGGCGAAGAUUCAUCUCUCUAACCUACUACCUCUCUAUAGAAUUUAGAAAUCCGAAAGUUAGAAGAUGUAGGCAGAAUUAGUCAUGCAUUCAAAAGUUAGGGAUUUCAUGCUACAUGCAAAAUGUUUUCUAUUGGGCAGCAACACAUAACAUGUGGCGCUUUAGGGCUGCUUCCUACUAGUUAUCGACAUAAAAUUUAUAAUUUUGUGAUGCCUAGCCUUUUACUGUUGGAAGGAGGAUAUUCAAUGUGGUUCUUUGCCCCCAUUUUUUAUCUAUAUGCAUUGCGUAAAAGUUCUUUGUGUUUUGUUGAUGGAAUAUUGAUACUCAGCUGUGUGCCAAUUUAUAACUAAUCAUAAAAGGGAGAAGAAUAAACUCAAGCACAUUGGAUAAAUGCAACUUGCAGAAAUUUAAUGUUCUCUUCUCCUUUGUAGGUCCCGAGUCGGUUAAUGUUGAUUUUGCUCAUGCACAACCCAUCAUAGGAGUCAGUAGGAUCAUCUUCAAUGGGUGUAUGGACUGCAAUAGCUUUUUUUUGUCCUCAUCAGUUAUCCGGUUUAAGGUGUGGUGGAUGGCGCACAAGAUGAAGGACAAGGGCGGCAGCAGCCCACAUGAGACACAACUCCUGCUGGUGGAGUGAAGGCCCCGGGGCCUGCAGCGACGAGGAGGAAGACACGUCGUAGCUGGAUGGUGAGAAUGCUGAUGUUGUGGUUACUGGAGAUGAGAACGUGCAGCCUGACCAAACCAAGCCUAAGAGCUGUGUCCCUCACCUCCUGUUGAGCAUGUUUUGGUUGCACUGGUUAGUUGUUAAAGGCUUAGCAGUACCAACCAUGGCGCUGGUGCCGCGGACUCCCCGCUGUGCGCCGUCUCACCGCUCGUCCCUUCUGGCUACACCUCCCCAUGUCAUGCUGCAGUUUAUCCCUUGUCGAAGUUCUUCUGUGAUUCAUCUCAUACGCAUCGUUGGCUGUUCUCUUUCGGCUUUUCAAGGUUUCAUCUUCCUCCUUGAAGCUUACUUUCUUAUGUUCAUUUGAUAUUUUGUCUUUAUUCAGUUCUAACUGUGUGUGUCCCGUGUGUUGUGCCUUUUCUUACCUAUUAUUGGUUCAUCUCAAUUAUUAUUUCUAUUCGUUGUUGCUUGCUGCCUGCGUACUUUCUGUGUUGGUUGUUGUUGUCUCAUUGUUUCAUAUGGCCGGCAUCUGUGGCAUAAUAUCUUUUGUCAGGCCGAUUCUAGAAACAGUGGCUGCACACUGUGGUUUGCCUCCUCCUAGCCACCUAUGUGAGGUUGAUGGGAUGGGCAUCUCCUUGCUGGAUUAGAAAUUGAAAUUCCUGGGGAUGGUGUCUUGCUAAUGCCGCAGAGGAAAAAAAAUUGGGCCUCUGGUGGUCAGGGUUCUACGUCAGGGCUUUUGACACUCAUGGAACUAUGUCAAGCCACUGUCGAUACUAUCCCUUUAUUUAGCUUUCUUAAUGAAUCAACUGUUAUGUGUUGUAAAUAUCACAAUUGGACCACCGUUGGCCCUUCCUGCCUUCCCUAGCUACUUAUGACAAUUUCUACUCGUUGUAAAUACCACUGGAUUAUGCUCCUUAAUCUAGCUCUUGCCAUCGUCACCGUAUUGUCUAUGUCUUAUUAUGUUUUUUGUAAGUUGUUGGUCCAUUGGAUUGACUGAGCUAUGAGCCUUUUUCUUUCGCUGGCCUACUUCCCAAGGCAUAUGUUGUGUUGUUCCUAUGCAAAUUCAUUGUAUUAGAUUUUUUGUAUGUCAGUUUCUUUCCAUUUUUACCUGGCUGAUUCUUGCACUGCUACAUAGCAGCUGUUAUGUAUGAUGCAAAUGCAAGGUAAACAAAACUGGGUGUUUUCUUGUGCUCUUCUUUCAGUUCAAAUAGGAAUUAGAAAUUGAGGGUAUACCUCAAUAUUAAGUACAAAUACAAUACAUUCUUUUCGCACAUUCCCUAUUGUCAUUGUGGUUGUCUUCACAAUAUUCGUUUGCGAUUUGGAUGUCUUUGGCCAGUUUCUUAUUGAAAAAAGAAUCAAAUAGGAAAUCAUCUACUAAUUGUUAUUUUUCUGAUCUUAGUUAAGUUCCAUGUGAAGUAGAAACUUCAUGUCUUUGAGAAUAACAUGCUUCAGCCAGGCGGGUUGUCCAGUGUUUGACUUUUUCCUUGGUUUGAUGAUUAUGAUGUAGCUAAUCGGGAAGAUACCUCACGUCGGUAUGUAUUAGUUGUGACUUGACUGGCUUCAGUCCAGUAGAGAACACAACUAAUUUGCACCUCCUGAAAUAUAAUUACUAUUUAUGAUUUUGAUAUGUAGUAGCUUUGAUUUGGCUGAUUUCAAGUCAGGAACAUGAGUAGGCUGAUGUAUUAUCCAUGACCGUGGGAAGGCGGUAUUUUCUGUUAUAAAAUUAGUGUACUGGUAAAAAAAUAUUAGUCAUAAAAUGAUUUAUUGAGCAAUUACCUGAGAAGUGCAGUGGGGACUGCGCUCCGGUCGCGGCGGAGUGCAGCCGCGGGGAAGACAACAUUUUCCUAUUCGUAGGAGCUUCAGUGAGGUUGCUCACCAAUGAGCUGGAAGGUUUUUUGUUCUGGGUACCAGCAGCUCACUUUGUUACCACAACACCAUUUCAUAUUUAAAUUUAAUACUCCCUCCCUUCUUUAAAAGAAGGCAUGUCAGUUUUGGUCAAAGUCAAACAAUGUAAAGUUUGGCCAAGUUAAUCCAACAAACUUGUAGGUCUUCUUUCCUAGCAUGGAGGGAGUACUUAGUUUCAUUACUGCAUCCACAGUUUAUUUUUGCUUCUACUUCUACUUCUACUUCUACUGUAUUUCUGUACUUAAAUUUAAAUUAUUUCUGCACCUACUUAAUUUCUACUUCUACUUUUUUCCUGCACCUACAGUUGCAGUGCUUAAUUUAUCUGCUCAUGGAGCUAUGACUCUGUUGCAGUGGGCUAAGGUUGACCGCUUUCAGGGGUAUGUCAAGGUGUAGGUGCAGACUCAUUGUUGAUGUUGAAUACUGGAGUAAGAAUGAUGAUCAAUGCUCUGACCGUGCCGCUGGAGAUAAUGGUGCGAGCUCGACCAGUUCAUGGUUAGGACACACAAGCCGCCUAUAUCUUUCUCUCUGUGUCUCCUUCUGUUGCUGUUUGGAACUUGGUGGGCUGGUGGCUGCGUCGGAUUAAUCAAGGGAUUCUGUUUAGCUUAGUUUCAUUACCGGAAAGCCUAAGAGCGGCGUUCUUUAUUGUCUGGUUAAAUCAAUCCCUGCCUCCCGCUGGUCGCCAGCUCCGAUGCUUCGCCGAGUGGAGAACCAGGAAGGAGGGGCGUGAAGGGGAGAAGGGGGUGUGGCGGAGAAGGAGCCACUUUCAUAUCUAUGUUGUCUUAUUAGGAAAAUAGGGUUUGUUUUAUAGCUGAUGCUUAAUAUGUUCUAUCGAUUGGUGAAUGCUGAACUUUAGCUCAUAAACUGGAUGGCAAAUGCUAAAUCUGAUGGGGCUUUUGCCACUUAUUGUUUUAUGGUUGUCUAGACAGCUGAUGGCAUGCUUCUUUCUUGCUAAUUGUCAAUUCUUCU